UAAAUGUUGUUGUUUAUAUCUCAAUAACCCGGGUUCGAACUACGGGUUUGACACUUUUUCACAUUUUUUAAAAGUGGGGUCCACAAAAUGCUGAUGUGACGCGCAGAGGAGUGAGCAAAAACUCAACUAUUAUAAUAUAGAUUUGCUGAUGAGUUAUUCACAUGUUAUGUUCUUCUUCGUUUAUUCUUUCGGUUAUAUCUCCUAGUAAAUCAAAAAAGAGUCAAGAAAGAAAACUGUAAUUUUUUUAAUUAAAUAUAUAUAUAUAUAUAUAUAUAUAUUAAUUCAAUCCGAAAAUCAGGGAAUCAGAUCCGGUUACAAACUCGCUUUGAAAAAAAAUCUCCAAAUUCAAACUAUUAUAAACUAGCUUCGCCCACCCACUAACCCGGCACAUUCCGCUAGUCCAUUUUUCGAAAUUCUUUGGAAUCGAUUGCCAUUCUCAACUAUCAACGAUAAACGACGGGAAGGUGAGGUUCUCCUUGUUGUCUUGGAUGCCGGGAAUUCCAAUGUCGUCUCCGGAGUAGCUAGCUCUGAUGAUCUCCUCGAAGCUUAUAUCUGUCACCAUCUAUGAAGCGCAAGGCGAGCAAUAAAGGAUAGUUCCAAAUACUUACCAUGAAGCCUUGCAAUGCCACCAAAGUCAGGUUUGUAGUUAACGCCACACAACGCUUAAAACACCACCUUUAACGAGAAAGCACUCACUAUUGCCGCCAUCGAACUGCUAACCUAAAACAAUGGGCUGAGAGGGAAGCAUCACCAAUCCGCAAUAUUCAGAACCUGCAAAGAAGAAAAGAACUGCCUGCGAAGAGACCGAGCGACCUCGAAGUAGUACUGGGAUGACAGAGUCUUAAGCAGGCCCCCCAUCACCGGCAAGACCCAGCUGACCCAAACAGAAAAUAACUGAUGAAAACAAACUCCAGAAUAGAGAACCUAAACCGGUCUUCUCUGCGCUUCAAGUGUUCCUCGAUGGGGAACCGAGGAGAGAGCAGAAGCAGGCCUAAAACAGCUCCGACCAUAACAAGUCAAAGCAAUCACGAAUGAUGAAAUGAAGACUGUGAAAUAAGGUAAGAGCAGCCACAAGAAUGAGAGGAGCACAACCAUAGACGGCAUGACACCAGACUACAAUCCACAGCUACAUGCGCCAAACCCACAUAAGUGAAGCCACCUAACAGCUACCACACUUCUAUGCACACGCAAGCGAUGAACAACCACCGCCUUCCCUGAGCAAGAGACAAACCCUCUGACUAAUCACAAGACCACAAACCAAAAUGAAAGGGAAGAUCUGUACUCCUCUCCACAACGAAGAGAACUCUUCGAAACUGCAAGCAAGAUAACCACGGGGAGAGAGUUCACUGAAACUCCAAACGCCUCUAACUCGAGAAUUCAGAUGGAAUCUACAAGAUAAUAACGAGAUCCACCAAAGCCAGACCCUAAAAGCCGACUACGCUUGACCCCUACCCUCACGCCUCACAGAAGCUCCAAAUCAAAGCGUACCAACCACGGAUUAGAGAGCCCGCGGCGGAGUCCUUUUCAGAACGCCUAGUAUCUCGACGGGUCGGAGAGAGGAGACACAAACGGAGCAAAACACAAAGAGGAAGGGGGAAAGGGAAAAGCUUCCGGCGGCCACGCGCCCGGCUGACAGCCGCAAGAGCAGAUCGAAGAAGAUGAAGUAGUGAGAAAUUAGAAGUUUCGUUUUGAGAGAGAGAUUUUAAUAUUUACAUUAAGAAAAAAAAAACUGUAGUUUACAAUACAAAAGAAAGAGAGAAACAUUGACUUCUCUGUUUGACCACAAAUUAUUGAUUAAAUUGGAUAUUACCAUCAAAUACGGAUAUAUACAGAUGCGAUGCAAGUCAUAGGAUAGAUGGAGAUAUUAUUACCAUCACUUACCUAACACUUUCUAUGUCACUAUCUCAAAAUCUCUUACCAACAAAUCGAUGGAAAUAUUUUAAUACAUAUUUACAACCUUUCUUGGGUUACAGUGGUCUUGAAAGAGCUUUGGCCCCAAUACAGAUCCGGAUUCGAAUCCCGCUGGCCACCGUCGAUUAAAAUGGGGUGAAAAAGGCGGUCCUCCAGAAUGCCUUCUGCGGAGGUGUACUUAGGCGCUAGUCGGGUUCCCUCCAGGGUGUCUGGAUUACCUGGAUUAUCAAAAAAAAAAAUCAUUAAGAAAAUGAUAACUUCACGAGAAAAACACACUUUAUAAUUUGGGUUAUUAUUUAGAAGAAUUCUUAUGCAACUUUGCAUCGUGAUUUUUCUUUGUUAAAAAGUAAAAGAUAUCUUUAUUAUGACCUAUCCAGUUUUCCACAUCCGAAAUUUUGACAUUAUGUGUAUGAAUGGCGACACUAAAGCGGGACAUAAUUGUAGAAAAGAGAGAGUGAAAUAACGCACUUGUUACCAUCUUACUAUACUAAAAGGAGAAUAAAGUGAGUUGAGAAGCUGUCCACAUAGACUGAUUAAUUCAAGCCUAUCAGAAUUCGCCAUGUCAGCUUAAUUAACAUGUCAUCAGCUUAAAGCUACAAUCACUAAACUAAAACAUGCCAAAUCGAGAGUUUGUUUGGUUCCUGCCAAAACCGAGGCCCAAGAAAUUUGUUGCCCUUCACUUCUAAAUCUUCGACGACCUAACUAUUCAUCUUCCUCAACGUUUAGUUUUUUUUUUUGGUAAACCUCAACGUUUAGUCUUUUGAUGUUCAUCUCUUCUAUUCAUCAAAGUCAUCUUCAAUAGUGUAAAUCAACUCUUCAAUUUCCCACACUCGCCAUAUAUAACUUUGUCACGGCUUUAUCUCUUGCCUUAUUCCACACACCAGCUAAACAAAAAUUUUAUGAGCCUUUUAGCUGUAUAUACAUAGAAAGUAAAUUAAUUAGGUUACAAUGCAUUACUUUAUUCUGAUUACUUAUUUUUCUUAUAUGCAUCACAUAUUUUGAUUUCUUCGUCUGCAGAUAACACUGCCAACAGAUUCGUCUCUAUAGCUUGAAUCGAGGUGGAAGUGAGAAGCCGUAGAAUCUGGGGACGAGAGGCGGCGUAUAGGGAGUCUGGAGAAAAAUCUUCGCUGGAAUUGAAACCAGCAUGUAGAGAGAUAUCAAAGAGGAGUUAAAAAAUUGGUUGGGAGAGAAGACUUCCAGCUCCAGGGAGACCUUAGAAGAAACUGAAUGGAGCAUGUGAAGAAACAAAGGAGAAAAUUUGGUACAGUCGAUGAACUAAUCCAAGUGAUCACUCCAAAAGGCAGAGAUAAACAAAGAUAAACAAACACUUUUAAGAUGAAACCAGAACAGAGAAACCUGUUUUCCAAAUACUUUGAAAUAUCACAAUUCUAUUUUUCAGUUUGAGGUAUUAGACUUGGGUUAUUAUGAAAUGGAAAGUGGGAAAGAAGAGAGUAUGCAUACAUAUCCUUUGAGAUCUCUUGCUUCAUCUCUUGAAAAGGGUCUGUGCGUAUGAGUUAACCAAGAAUUAAAUUCAGCGAUAUUUUCACAGGUGAAGUCUCCUUGCUCUUUCACUCAAAGAGAGAUUGAAUAUCUCACGGACACCAUCCAUAAUGGUGGCACUGAAGUAAUGAGUCUUGAUCCGAUGUUUCAUUUGCUGGAGGACAUGUAUUGAGUUUUUAUAAUCAUUGUUCUUCACUCCAUAUAUAUUUAACUGCAUAUGAACUGAUGCUGCAGUAAUGCUACGGUCACGAUUGAUGGCAACGACCUUCGAUAUGAUAGAUCCAGCACAGUGACAUGACUGGCGGUAGAAACCAAAACCAGAGUUACGCUAAAGCAAAGGGAACAAGGAAACAUAAAGUAAAAACAAAGUUGUGAUUGCCCUCCUUGCCUCUUCUGUGAAAACUUAGAAAUACUUUUGCUUUGUGUUUGUUAGUGUCCGUAAAAUCCACAUCUAUAUGUAAUUAUAGUGUUGGGUCCCUCCUAGAUGGAGAGAACCAAGUGGGCAUGAGACAUAAUAAUAAUUCUCAUGACCCUUUGCACUGUAGACUCACAAUAAUAGAGUUUAGAGAGAGAGACAAAAGAGAGAAAGAAGAGAGAAAGAGGAGAAAACUCGUCCGGCUAUUUCAAGACUGGUUUUGGAGGAUCAAACGGAACUUGAUCGAGCUGAUAUUUUGUGGGAAGCUUCUUAAGUCAGUGGGUUAGAUAUUCACCGAAGAGAUUUAGAUUUCAACGGUUGGAUCUUCUGUUGUCUGGGUUUUAGUGAAGCUGGUCGUCACAGUUCUUCAUCGGGACAGUCUUGGGUGUUUGGUAAAUCCGACGGUAAGAUCUUCUCUUCUUGAGCUGAAAUUUGGUGGAGGUAUUUUUGACUUGUUUAUCUUGGAUUUGUACGGUUGGAUUAGUCUCUGGAUGCCGGAAUCCUUGUGAGCUGAGGUCGUUUGGUUGCUGCCGAUUUUGAGACUUUGUGUUGCUCUCUUGUUGUUGUUGUUUGUGUUGGAGAUAGCUCUUUGAAGCUAGUGUCUCUGUUCUGUUCUGGUUGUUGAACAGGGAGGACGUGGUUGUACUCACAAACAUUUAUAUAGUGGAUUGUUGAGUGGACUACGGUCCCGUGGUUUUUCCUUCUCACAUCGAGGAGGUUUUCCACGUAAAAAGUGAUUGUCUCAUUUACAUUUCCGCUUAUACUAUAUUCUGCCAUCGUCGAAGUAUUUUCUUUACAGGUUCACACAAGGUCAGGAGAACACGACCAUUAGUAUUUCCGCUGCGCCGUGUGACUUUCCUCAACAUAUAGGAGGUAGACAUUGGCUAAGAGAAUGUUUCAUUUCAAAGACGUGCAUAGGGUAAAAGUAUAUAUUGGCAGAUGAUGGUUUACAGGAAUACAUUAUAUAUAUAUGUAUUAGUUGUGCUUUAGCAAAUGUUUAUGUAAAAAUGUUAUAGAUCGUCUCUUUUUUUAGAAGUAUAUUUAAUUUGACGCAGACUCAGUAAUAUAUGCAAUUGUUUUAGGUUAUCAUC
This is a long non-coding RNA of Brassica napus (rape), 4917 nucleotides long. RefSeq lists it as uncharacterized. The transcript is spliced from 4 exons. Lineage: Eukaryota; Viridiplantae; Streptophyta; Magnoliopsida; Brassicales; Brassicaceae. The record is from RefSeq and is a predicted model, not a curated record.